Molecule: long non-coding RNA, 139 nt
Organism: Leopardus geoffroyi (Geoffroy's cat)
Lineage: Eukaryota; Metazoa; Chordata; Mammalia; Carnivora; Felidae
Exons: 3
Source: RefSeq, a predicted model, not a curated record
UUUCCAGGAUUUUCUUUAAAUUCAAGUUAGUUAAUAUAUGGUGUAGUAUGGGUUUCAGGAGUAGUAUUUAGUGAUUCCUCACUUACAUAUAACACUCAGUGCUCAUCACAACAAGUGCCCUCCUCAAUACCCAUCACCC